AUUGCCCUAGUAACGGCGAGUGAAGCGGCAACAGCUCAAAUUUGAAAUCUGGCGCAAGCCCGAGUUGUAAUUUGUAGAGGAUGCUUCUGGCCAGCGGCCGUUCUAAGUUCCUUGGAACAGGACGUCAUAGAGGGUGAGAAUCCCGUAUGUGACCGGCGCGCAGCCUUUACGUAGCUCCUUCGACGAGUCGAGUUGUUUGGGAAUGCAGCUCUAAAUGGGAGGUAAAUUUCUUCUAAAGCUAAAUACCGGCCAGAGACCGAUAGCGCACAAGUAGAGUGAUCGAAAGAUGAAAAGCACUUUGGAAAGAGAGUUAAAAAGCACGUGAAAUUGUUGAAAGGGAAGCGCUUGCAACCAGACUUCGUAGCGAUGUUCCGCCGGUCUUCUGACCGGUCUACUCAUCGUCGCGAGGCCAACAUCGUCUGGGGCCGCUGGAUAAGACCUAAGGAAUGUAGCUUCCCUCGGGAAGUGUUAUAGCCUGUGGUGAUGCAGCGUGUCUCGGGCGAGGUCCGCGCUUCGGCAAGGAUGUUGGCGUAAUGGUUGUCAGCGGCCCGUCUUGAAACACGGACCAAGGAGUCUAACAUCUAUGCGAGUGUUCGGGUGUCAAACCCCUACGCGUAAUGAAAGUGAACGGAGGUGGGAAGCGCAAGCUGCACCAUCGACCGAUCCUGAUGUCCUCGGAUGGAUUUGAGUAAGAGCAUAGCUGUUGGGACCCGAAAGAUGGUGAACUAUGCCUGAAUAGGGUGAAGCCAGAGGAAACUCUGGUGGAGGCUCGCAGCGGUUCUGACGUGCAAAUCGAUCGUCAAAUUUGGGUAUAGGGGCGAAAGACUAAUCGAACCAUCUAGUAGCUGGUUCCUGCC
RNAcentral lists this ribosomal RNA (857 nucleotides) under Dothistroma septosporum. RNAcentral's name for it is "LSU rRNA". It matches the Rfam family "Eukaryotic large subunit ribosomal RNA", at positions 74 to 962 of the family's 3401-position model. Lineage: Eukaryota; Fungi; Ascomycota; Dothideomycetes; Mycosphaerellales; Mycosphaerellaceae. The record is from RNAcentral.